AAUAUACUCUCUCCGUUCAACAAAGGAUGUAUCAAUUUUGACAAAAAAUUGAAUGCAUGUAUACACUAAGUCAUGCUAGAUACAUCCAAAUUAAGACAAAUUAAGACAUCCUUUGUUGGACGGAAGGAGUAUCUU
Brachypodium distachyon (stiff brome) is the source of this 135-nucleotide non-coding RNA. NCBI's taxonomy places the organism in Eukaryota, Viridiplantae, Streptophyta, Magnoliopsida, Poales, Poaceae. The record is from Rfam.